AAGAAUUUAAUUAUUAGACCACCAUGUCAAUUGUAUUUAAGCUAAAAUUACAGAGCUGGCAAAUUUGCUCAUGGAAUAGCAUGAGUAUUAAUGAUGAAGCCUUGUUUAUUUUUUUCUAAUAAAGUUGUGAGAACUGAUCUUUCUCAGCCCUGAUAACCUCUACCAUCAUAGAAGUUAUUGAUCGUUGUUGGCUAGUGUCAUACUAGCAAAAUUCAAUACAUAAAGGUAUUAGGGAGGAUUAAUAUCUAUUGAUGAGAUGCUACUAUUUGUGAUAAAUCUUUUCUUUAUUACCACCUUCUUGUAUCCUAAUAGGUUCUUCUGUUGACAUUCUUUUUCCUCUAGAUUUUAUGUUUUGUUCUAUCUGUUCCUCAAGGUUUAUUCUGAAUACUGUUAGGGUAUUUACCCUAAUUAUCUUACUACAUUUAUGUUUUAUUUUUUCUUAGAAAGAAAAUAAAAGUUACCAUAAUUACUUUUACUUUUCCUGAAAGAAAAAAAUAUAAUUCUUUUCCAUAUUUGGCUAACUCUUUCUUGGAGGAAAGGUUUUGUACAUCUAUAAAUAGAAGACCCCCUUCUCAUACCAUAACACAAUAGCAUCCAUAAUGUAGUCAUUAAAGAGUCUUUGUUUAGGGGGAGAUUUCGCCCAAUAGGUUUAAUAUUUUUCGAUAUUAGGUUUUAUAAUAUGUAGGCCGAUUGGCCAAAAUAUAUAAUAAUUUAAUGAUUUUUAGUAUGUUUUUCUUUGUCGUUUGAUUUAUCGUCUUAUGAUUUGCAAACUUUAAGCUUCCGCAUGACGCCCUCUCGAUUUCGAACCCAACAAGUGGUAUCAGAGCUUACGGUUCAAUGGUCCAAUGGUGUGAUGAGACGAGAUUAAACAGGUUCAAAGCGGUUUCAACAUCAAACUGCAACAAUUUGGGCAAUAAUGAAGAUUUUUGUCGAACUACAUGUGGAGAACAAGUUUCAACCAUAUUUUCAACACGCCUGCUGAUGCAUCUUUAAAAAUAAAAAUAAAUAUUACUUUUAAACUAAUUUUUAACCAUGAUAUUUUAAACCUUAUUUUUAACCAUGACAAGCAACAGUUAUGAAGAUUAUAUCAAGAACGAAGUUCAUGCACGUGAUAUGAAGAGAAGACGGAUCAAGUGAAGAAAAUCCAGCCAAAAGGGGGAGAUUUAUUAGGGUUUUUGCCCUAAUUUUCUUACUAUAUUUAUGUUUUAUUUUUUCUUAGAAGGAAAAUAAAAGUUACCAUAAUUACUUUUACUUUUCCUGAAAGAAAAAAACAUAAUUCUUUUCCAUAUUUGGCUAACCUCUUUCUUAGAGGAAAGGUUUGUACAUCUAUAAAUAGAAGACCCCCUUCUCAUACCAUAACACAAUAGCAUCCANNNNNNNNNNNNNNNNNNNNNNNNNNNNNNNNNNNNNNNNNNNNNNNNNNNNNNNNNNNNGGUUUAAUAUUUUUCGAUAUUAGGUUUUAUAAUAUGUAGGCCGAUUGACCAAAAUAUAUAAUAAUUUACUGAUUUUUAGUAUGUUUUUCUUUGUCGUCUGAUUUAUCGUCUUAUGAUUUGCAAACUUUUUAU
This 1565-nucleotide long non-coding RNA is filed under the name Capsicum annuum. Its description in RNAcentral is "long non-coding RNA (CANN_LNC021288)". The record is from RNAcentral. Lineage: Eukaryota; Viridiplantae; Streptophyta; Magnoliopsida; Solanales; Solanaceae.